RNAcentral lists this ribosomal RNA (250 nucleotides) under uncultured bacterium. RNAcentral describes it as "partial 16S ribosomal RNA". It matches the Rfam family "Bacterial small subunit ribosomal RNA", at positions 15 to 253 of the family's 1533-position model. The record is from RNAcentral.
GAUCCGGCUCAGGAUGAACGCUAGCUACAGGCUUAACACAUGCAAGUCGAGGGGCAGCAUUCCAGUUUGCUUGCAAACUGGAGAUGGCGACCGGCGCACGGGUGAGUAACACGUAUCCAACCUGCCGAUAACUCGGGGAUAGCCUUUCGAAAGAAAGAUUAAUACCCGAUGGCAUAAUAGAACCGCAUGGUUUGUAUUAUUAAAGAAUUUACGGUUAUCGAUGGGGAGUGCGUUCCAUUAGGCAGUUGGG